Molecule: ribosomal RNA, 527 nt
Filed under: Kryptoperidinium foliaceum
Lineage: Eukaryota; Dinophyceae; Peridiniales; Kryptoperidiniaceae
Description: partial Bacterial small subunit ribosomal RNA
Rfam family: Bacterial small subunit ribosomal RNA
Source: RNAcentral
AUGAAGAGUUUGAUCCUGGCUCAGGAUGAACGCUAGCGGCAGGCCUAAUACAUGCAAGUCGAGGGGCAGCACGAUCUUCGGAUUGGUGGCGACCGGCGCACGGGUGCGUAACGCGUAUGCAACUUACCCAUUACUGGGGGAUAGCCCGGGGAAACUCGGAUUAAUACCCCAUAGUACCAUUUGAUGGCAUCUGAAGAUGGUUAAAGAUUUAUUGGUAAUGGAUGGGCAUGCGUCUGAUUAGUUAGUUGGUGAGGUAACGGCUCACCAAGACGAUGAUCAGUAGGGGGUCUGAGAGGAUGAUCCCCCACACUGGUACUGAGAUACGGACCAGACUCCUACGGGAGGCAGCAGUAGGGAAUAUUGGUCAAUGGGCGAGAGCCUGAACCAGCCAUGCCGCGUGCAGGAUGACGGCCUUCUGGGUUGUAAACUGCUUUUCUACAGGAAGAAAAAGCCCUUGCGAGGGAAAUUGCCGGUACUGUAGGAAUAAGCACCGGCUAACUCCGUGCCAGCAGCCGCGGUAAUGCGGA